RNAcentral lists this ribosomal RNA (352 nucleotides) under uncultured bacterium. RNAcentral describes it as "bacterial SSU rRNA". It matches the Rfam family "Bacterial small subunit ribosomal RNA", at positions 28 to 377 of the family's 1533-position model. The record is from RNAcentral.
GACGAACGCUGGCGGCGUGCUUAACACAUGCAAGUCGAGCGGUAAGGCCCUUUCGGGGGUACGACGAGCGGCGAACGGGUGAGUAACACGUGGGUGACCUGCCCUCCAGCUCUGGGAGUAAGCCUGGGAAACGUGGGUCGUAAUACUGGAUAUGACUCCACGGUGCAUGUCGUGGGGUGGAAAGCCUUGUGCGGCUGAGGAUGGGCCCGCGGCCUAUCAGCUUGUUGGUGGGGUGAGGCCUACCAAGGCGACGACGGGUAGCCGGCCUGAGAGGGCGACCGGCCACACUGGGACUGAGACACGGCCCAGACUCCUACGGGAGGCAGCAGUGGGGAAUCUUGCGCAAUGGGCG